This 422-nucleotide ribosomal RNA is filed under the name uncultured bacterium. RNAcentral describes it as "partial 16S ribosomal RNA". It matches the Rfam family "Bacterial small subunit ribosomal RNA", at positions 360 to 774 of the family's 1533-position model. The record is from RNAcentral.
AAUAUUGGACAAUGGGGGCAACCCUGAUCCAGCCAUGCCGCGUGUGUGAAGAAGGUCUUCGGAUUGUAAAGCACUUUAAGUUGGGAGGAAGGGCAGUAAGCGACUACCUUGCUGUUUUGACGUUACCGACAGACUAAGCCCCGCCUAACUCUGUGCCAUCAGCCGCGGUAAUACAGAGGGUGCAAGCGUUAAUCGGAAUUACUGGGCGUAAAGCGCGCGUAGGUGGUUCGUUAAGUUGGAUGUGAAAUCCCCGGGCUCAACCUGGGAACGGCAUCCAAAACUGGCGAGCUAGAGGAGGGCAGAGGGUGGUGGAAUUUCCUGUGUAGCGGUGAAAUGCGUAGAUAUAGGAAGGAACACCAGUGGCGAAGGCGACCACCUGGGCUCAUACUGACACUGAGGUGCGAAAGCGUGGGGAGCAAACA